Molecule: non-coding RNA, 1019 nt
Organism: Camellia sinensis
Lineage: Eukaryota; Viridiplantae; Streptophyta; Magnoliopsida; Ericales; Theaceae
Source: RefSeq, a predicted model, not a curated record
UGUCUAUGUAUUUUGAUCCUCUUGAAUUCUGGUUAUUGUGUGUGUUUCUUAUUCAAAGAUACCUAUGAAGUUCUGUGAAAGUUCAGAUUGGAUCCGAAACCUGGCUGUUUGAUUUAUAUGUUAUGGAAUUCCUUUAAAUGGUGUUUGGUUAUAGAGAUUUGGAAUUGAGUGCUGGAUCCUGGGAUUUUGUAAUCCUUGGGAGUUGAGGCUUACACAUCAUGGCAAGGAUUAAACCUCAAGCUCUGCUACAACAAAGCAAGAAGAAGAAGGAUCCAAGUUGUAUCGGUGCCACUACAGUUAUUUUAUACAGCUUAAUUAUAGUUGUGAUGGUGUUUUUCCUGUUUUCUACUUACAGACAUUGGACUCAGGUCUGUUGCAGUGGUAUCUACAUUUGUUUAAUAUCAAAAUAGAACCACAGAAAAUCCAACAAUUGGAUUGAUGUUUCUUCACCCAAUUCCCCAGUUGUUGUGGCCGCUUUGGCUGCUGAAGCAGAGCUUGCAGAAGAAACUGAACAACUCCAAGAGGGUGUUCUGGAAAGUGCUGUUGUUGUUACCCCAACUAAGCCCAAGAAAGGCAAAGCUGCAUUGCCUCUAAAAAGUGACAGAUCACCGUUGGCAGGCUUGAAAGGGCAAAUGGGGUCGGGGCAUGUGGGAAGUCUACUCCAGAAAUGGAGGCUUUGAAAUUGGCCCCUUGUGCAAUGGCAAAACAGGAUGAGAAAUCUGAUGUCCCCGACAACAGCUGCCAGCAGGUGAAGAAAUUAGGGCAGAACCCGGGCUGCCUUUGUGCUGUUAUGCUUUCUGACACUGCCAAGUUUCUUUCAAAUCUGUAAGUUUUGUUCAAACACCGGAUUUCCACUCUGAUUUGGCGUGCCUUGCAAGUCCUACAUUGGGUUGAGGUUAGAUCUUUUGCUUGGUUUAUUUUAUGCUUUGAUUAUCAAGUUUGUGUUUGCUUUAGGAAAUGGACAGAAACUUGGAGUUUUCGUGUUCAUGUUCUCCAUAUAGUUAUUAGUUAGCAGUAAU